UUCACAUAGGGAAAGAAUUUCAAGAGGAAAUCAAGUCUCUUUGGAAACUGGAUGAAGUCAUGGACUGAAAAUGUCUUUCAGUAAAUGUAAGGUAUUAAAAAUGUAAGAAAAUAGGUCUAAAAAUACAUAUCACUAUCUCCUUCUAAGGUGGAAGUGCUAAGUGGCAUCUUUCUGUUCCUCUGAGCAUGUCCAAGAUUCCACACUUGGGACAUUUCUUAUCACAUAGGUCCAGUCCCUGAGGUCAUGCCCUGUAGUCAUUCUUCUCUGCCUCUAAAGUAAUUUGCAGAACUGGGUGUAGUCUAGUGUAUGCUCAUUCUUCAUUAUUCUCUAUCCCGAAAGGUCAAAGCAUAAUAUGGAAUGUCUUGAACUUAAAAGAGACACUAAGCCUAGAUAACCAGCUGUGCUCAAAUUAAAACAUCCAAAAAUAACAUUUAUUCUCCCAACAGCAAAGACUGACGGUAAAUCUGGGGGAGGAGGAAUACCUCCUAACCAGACUUUAAAAUUGUACUAAGUCACUCACUCCAAUUUUGUAGGUUUCAAGAAGAUUCCUUCAGAACUAAAAGAAAUAAAUUUUGCUCUACAGAGUCUGUAAAGAGAACCUGGUGCUGUGAAUACAGAGGAAGAUACCAUCAUCCAUGUAAUAAAGCUCCCUAUGUAAACAGGAGCAGAUAAACAAAACCUGUAAAUAACUGACCAUAAUAUGCAGUCUCAAUUACAGGGCCCACUAUUUCCAUCUUGAGCACAACUCACAAGAAUAUGAGCCCAUCCAAGGGACUCCAAUAAAGUAAGUGACAACAAAGGAAGACAAAUAACACUCUAAGGCUGACUAUUUUCUCCUGUGAUGUGGUCAAGGCUUUUGGCCACAAGUAGACACUGUGUUCUACUGGAGAAGUUAGCAAAUGUGCUGGCAGGGUGCUCUAAGCCUAUGCUCCUCAAAGUGGACCAGCAGCAUCCAUACCAACUGGAAAUAUUGGAAGUAUAGACUUUUAGAAACCACCCUAGACCUACAGAUCAGAAUCUGCAUUUUC
Molecule: long non-coding RNA, 1028 nt
Filed under: Felis catus (domestic cat)
Lineage: Eukaryota; Metazoa; Chordata; Mammalia; Carnivora; Felidae
Description: lncRNA (ENSFCAG00000051983.1)
Source: RNAcentral